RNAcentral lists this transfer RNA (71 nucleotides) under Bos taurus (domestic cattle). It matches the Rfam family "tRNA". From Rfam's summary of the family: Transfer RNA (tRNA) molecules are approximately 80 nucleotides in length. Their secondary structure includes four short double-helical elements and three loops (D, anti-codon, and T loops). The record is from Rfam by way of RNAcentral. RNAcentral also lists the same sequence under 4 other names. Lineage: Eukaryota; Metazoa; Chordata; Mammalia; Artiodactyla; Bovidae.
UCCCAGGUGGCUCAGUGGUAAAGAAUCUGCCUGUAGUGCAGGAGAUGCAGGUUCGAUCCCUGGUCUGAGAA